This is a long non-coding RNA of Haemorhous mexicanus (house finch), 5417 nucleotides long. RefSeq lists it as uncharacterized. The transcript has 2 exons. The record is from RefSeq and is a predicted model, not a curated record. Lineage: Eukaryota; Metazoa; Chordata; Aves; Passeriformes; Fringillidae.
GGGAGCUGUAGUGCCCGAAGUAGUUGGAACGGGGCGUUUCGGGGUUCGGGAAGGCUCUUUUGCGUUUGAGCCACGACUUGAAGUCCUCGGGAGAACGUAAAGGAGGCUGCUGGAAGAUGCAGAACACAGAGGAGGAUGCAGAUGUAAAAUGCCAGAGUCAAACAUAAGGAACCCAGCACGACACAGGAUAAGAAGACAGAGUCUAUUUUCCAAAGCAGGCUGGUGUCAGAGCAGGAGAGUUUGAACAAGGGGGAGUUGUCACAAAGGAAAUGGGGGAUCUUGGAGCCACAGAAAGACAGCUCAGAGAGGAAGAGCAGCCGGUAGCUCUGCAGGCCAAAGCCGAGGACCCAAGCAGCAACAACCAGGUGGACACAGAGCUGAGGCUUCAUGAUGGCAGCGUAUUGCAAAGGUUGGCAGAUGGCAACAUAGUGGUCAAAGGACAUGACAACGAGCAGAAUGAACUCUGUGCAGCCCAGGGCAAAAUAGAAAUAGUUUUGGGCAAAGCAGCUGCUUAGUGAGAGAGCGUUCUGGCCAGAACUCAGCAUCACAAACAAUUUGAUGCUUGUGGAGGAUGUAAGCCAGAUUUCCAGGAAGGCCAGGUUGCUGAUGAAAAAGUACAUGGGGGUUUGCAGGUGGUGAUCCACACACACGAGGAAAAUGAUGGUUGCAUUCCCCAUCACUGUUGUCAGGUACAUGAGCAGGAGGACCAGAGAGGAGAAUACCUGCAGUCUUGGAUCAAGCUCUGGGAAACCCUCUAGGAUGAACUCAGUAACUGCUGUUUCAUUUUCUGGUCCCAUGCUGAAAUCCAGCUCAUCCUGCUGAGACAGGAACAUGGCAAAAACAAGUGGGAUAAUUUCACAGUCUGGACAAACAUUUCUAUCCCUCUUUCUCUGCUUCUUUCUUUUCCUGUAGUCUUGCUAUAGAGCGCAGAGGUCGUGCUUCAAACAAUUCUCACACCCUGAUUGUUCAGUUUCCCACUUCAGGAAGAGACCCCAGGGAUUUUAUUGUGUUCUUUCUACCUUUUCCAAACACCCCCGAAGAAUUCUUUCCCCAGACAGAGCAUUCUAAAGAGCUAUUGGCUAUUUCCCCCCAUUCCUGGGAAAUUCCUGGCUCACUCAGACCUACUGCAAAAUCUGUCACACCCAUGUGCCAAACACCUCUCACCUACAGCACAAACACUAAACUGUGAAAUUACAUCCAAUCUGUGCAUUGAACGUCCUUGUUUCUACUUUUCAGUACUUGCCUUUGGAGUCGCUGAGGAUCUGUUGAUUCCAAAAUAAGCAAUCCCAAGUAUCUCUUUUGCAAUCCUCUGCUUUCUUCCACAGCUUUUCCCUCUCUGGGUCUUCAGGAAAGGAAUGGGGAGGGCAGAAUAGGGACCAAGUAUAGCUUGGUUUUUUAGUACUCUAAAUGAGGACUGGAAUUUAUUAUGGAUCCACACAGAGUGUCACAAUCUGAGCUGUCACCUGUCUGCACCAAAAUGCACCUGUUCCCAUGCAGUCCUUCAUUGCUGUUGCUAUCAAAUAACCCGAGUGCAGAGCAAGAGAAAAGUGCCAGGAAGAGAUCUGUAACUUUUGUUUUGUGUGCCAGUUGGGAGCAGCCAGCCUCCAAAUGUUCUCUUGUCUCCACUGGCUACAGAGGGAGCCUUGAGAAAACAAAUUCUCCUGGGUGUCAGCAGGGGAGUAGGUGAAACUUACUUUUCAAGUCUCAAAACCCCUUACUCUCAAAUCCCUGAUUAAUGAAGUAAUUAAGUUACUCUGUUUUGAAACCAAAAUACACAGCUAAGAAAAGAUACAUGAGAAAAAGAUAUGCAAUUAAAACUGGUAUUUUCCCUUUCAGGUUUUUUUUUUUUGUUUGUUUGCUUUUAGACAUGGAGAAGAGCGAAGCAGAUGACUUUGAAAAUAGGAAUUUUUAAAAUGCCUGGGGAGAAGAGGAGAGGGAGGGUCUGAAGCAGUGAAACAAAGCUCCGUUGAUGUGCAACCAGAGCACUGAAGUCACCGGUCCCCUGGGUGGCCCAAGGACUCUCCCACCUCAUUGUCCACACAGAGCAGAGGAGAGACUGGUCUGAGACAGGCCAUCAACUUGAAACCAAGUGACUGAGUUCAGUCGAGAGCCCUCCAAAUGAACCAACUCCAAAAUGAGCAAAAAUGAGUCACAUUCGAAAUUAAGUGUGGGACUGAAAUGUUUGGGAGCUUUCCAGGUGGGGACUCGGGGCAGCCCUAGAGAUGAGCAGAUCCUGCUGUGCCCAGGCCGAUUCUUGUGCAAAAAUGCAGUGAUCACCACCCUGGGUGGAGGCUCUGACUGCUUCAGAGACCCCUGCAGCACCUUCUGCUGCACAGCUGAGCAAAUUACAAUUACUUAAAUUGAAAUUUAAAACUUAAUUGUAAUUAAAACUGAGAAAAUUACAAUUAUUUAAGAUGCUUCCACACUCCAGAGACCACAGGCAGGUGGAUUAACAGAAGCAAUCAGAACAGCUUUAAGUGAAGCCACAUUUCAUGCAGUUGAAGGCUCUGUUGCAAGGGACACUCUUCCAAUGUGAGUUAUUCCAUAAUUCAGUUUCCCUGUGUUGGGAAGGGUGAAAGUUUGACAAGAAAGUCUCACAGAUACAGAUGGUUAGCAGAAAGAUUUUUAAAUGUAGAACCUGAAGAGGGAAUAGAGAUGGAAGCAAGUUUUGAUAUAGAAGAAUUGCUGAGUCUUACUGGAUAACCAAGGAGGCAAAGGGUAUGUUAGUUAGAAGGGGUUUUUAUGACUCAGAGCAAAGGAUAAACCCACCUCAAACCAGAAGAUGUUUUUACCAAGCAGAAAGAUUCCACAGACAAACAAGUCAGCAGAUAUUGCAAGUAGAAAAAAAGGUCUCCGAAUUUUCCACUGCAAGAAAACUGAAAACCAACUUCUAGCUUAAAUUGUAACAUCCUAACUUUUAGUGAUUGGAGAAUAGCACCAUGAAUAUGGUAAAUCAGUAGUUAUGAAAAGCUACAGAUAAAAGUUAAGGUAUAGAUUGGUUCUGCUGUAUUAAGAUGCUCAGCAAAGAAAAGUAUAUAAUGCAUUGUAACCUAAACUGAGGGUCUCCAGGCCUGCCUGAAGCUGGAGCUGACAGCUGAGGGCACAGGCUCUGUCACCUAAGACCCCAGGCUGCUGUAACCUCUUGGAUGGAAUAAACUGCAUUUUGUAGAGCUGCUGGAUUCCCACAUCUCUCCUUCAGGCUCUAACAAUGGCGCCCAACAUGCGGCACCAUCAGUCAGAGCCUGAAUGAGGGACACAGGUCUCCAGGCCUGCCUGCAGCUGGAGCUGACACAGCUGACACCUGCAUGCACAGGCUCUGUCACCCACAACCCUGGACUGCUGUAAUGUCUUGGAUGUAACAAACUGCAUUUUGGAGAGCUGCCUGGAGUCCUGCAUCUCUCAUUCAGGCUCUUACCAUGAGUUCUGUUCCAGGUAUAGUGGAUCGGAGUCGUGGCACUGGAGGUUUUGAAUCUACAGGACCACCUCAGGUUCUUUGGACUCAGAAGGUGACAGAUGAGUGUCUGGUAAUUCAAUGUUUGGUCACUGCUAAGGGAUGUCAUCCAGAAACUACAGCUAGAUCAGGUUUACUUGGCACAGGAGCAGAUGUAACUAUAAUUUCACAGCUUGUUUGGCCUCACUCAAUCAACCUUUGGAGGUGUUGGGUUAGAUGGGUAAACUGCUGGUGCUUUAUCUGCUAUUAUGAUCACUGUACCACAUCCGGAAGGCCAACAAGCUAACAUCAGACCUUGUGUUACUAAUGCUGAGUCUAAUUUAUGGGGACGUGAUUGCUUAACCCAAAGGGAUGUUAAAAUUACCGCGGAUUUUUAGUGGGGGCCACUGGGAUGCAGGGCCUUAAACGUCCGGCUGUGUCCUUGACAUGGCUGACAGAUGAGCCUGUCUGGAUUGGUCAGUGACCCCUGCCCCCUGAAAAGCUUCUUGCCCUGCGAGGCUUAGUGAAAGAACAAUUACUAGCUGGACAUAUUGAAAACUCAUUUAGCCCAUGGAAUACACCUGUAUUUGUAAUAAAAAAGAAAUCAAAAAAGUGGAGACUUCUGCACGAUUUGUGGCGCAUAAACACUGUGAUGGCUGCAAUGGGUGCUCUACAGUCAGGUCUCCCAACACCAAACUUUCUGCGUCCUUUACGUGACUUACAAGUCUCUCCUAUAUUCUACCAUUUUCUGUCUUUGAAUUCAAAACAGCCGAACUUCAAGAAAAGCAUUAAGGUAUGGGUGAAAGAUUUAAUCAGGGGAAAGUGGUCUGGCCCAGUGGAAUUAGUAACAUGGGGAAGAGGAUACGCGUGUGUUUUAACAGAAAAUGGCCCUCAAUGGGUCUCUGCCCGUUGUGUCAAACCUUGUUUGGAGCACACAGAAAAGGACAGGAUGGGUGGUUCUACAGUGGAAGCAAAAUGAGUAGGUAAUUGCAUUGGUUAUUAGGUGGAUGGAAGCAUGGACCCUCAAGGAAUGUGUGGUAAAGAUGGUAAUUCAAGACAGAGUAAAGGGAGUUAUAAGCUUACCCUGAAAAUCCAAAAUUUAAGUUAGUGGAUGUUACUUUUGCUUCUUUUCCUUGAAUUCUCUUAGAGAGGUUGGUAGUACUGAGAAAUGUGUCGUGUACCAUUUCCUUUUGCAGGGCACCGACAGUCCCAAAAUAGGGGGAUUUGAUGUACCUAAGGGAGAAGUGUUGCCUUUGUACAGGGGUUGAAUUAGUAGCUGAAGUCCACAUUUUGAGCAACUAGGUUAGUUGCCCAUUAUGAGAGCAGCAGCCAGUUGUAAAGUUAAGUGGAUGCUACUGAGUUCUGAGUGGUGACUAGGCAGAUGACUUGGUCUCUGACUCUGUGUGGAGAAAGUUAUUGGAUUAGAGGUGAAGGUGUCAUUCUGCUAGAAAUGUGUCAUUGGGAAAUUGUGAGGUCUGUAACGGUAUUUGAAGAUUUUUUUUUUGUGCCUUGUUUGUAUAUGAACAUUAAGAUUGUGAGGGUGUGUGUUGUGGAGUUGGUAGAAGUUGGUUAUCUGUUAGUGAAUGAAGAAUGGAUCCUCUGUCUGCUUGGAUUUUUGCAAGGGCCCUGCAGAAGUCCUUAGAAGUUGUAUUUGUGUGUCAAAUACAAAAAGGGGGAAUUGUAGGAAAGACAUUCUGUACUGUUCUUGUGAGCUAGCAAAGGCCUCCUGAAUAUAAAGGGAAGCCCCAUAUCUCUCCUGAGGAAGACACCAAGGUUAUCACGAUGGAGAUGUGAUGAAGGAGAGAAAGUUAAGAGAUACAGACCCUAGCUGGCUCACAGAGUGACGUGGCUCCCUGAUCACCUACUGAGAAUUUUGUUUCUCUCUUAUAACCAAUGGGCAGUGAAUGUGUAUGUUGAGUGAAUGUAAAUAUCUUGAAAAACUAUAAAAACAGCAUGUUGCUAUAAUAAAUCUCUCUUGCACCCUUCU